AAAUUUCAACCCCCUUUUCUUUUCAAAAAAGGUGGCUUGGACUUGUGGAAGCUGCUGGCGCUGCAUUAUGCAUACUUCAGCUCUUCUCAAACCUAUUAGCACGGUUGCUUCUGGUUAAUCCUUUGGUAUGAUAAUUAUCUAUGCCUUUCGGAAUUUCUGGACAAUGGGCAUUGUGCUUCCAAUUGUCUGCAAAGACAGUUUUUGAACAA
This 209-nucleotide unclassified non-coding RNA is filed under the name uncultured Entoloma. Its description in RNAcentral is "sequence contains ITS2". Lineage: Eukaryota; Fungi; Basidiomycota; Agaricomycetes; Agaricales; Entolomataceae. The record is from RNAcentral.